RNAcentral lists this ribosomal RNA (253 nucleotides) under uncultured bacterium. RNAcentral's name for it is "partial 16S ribosomal RNA". It matches the Rfam family "Bacterial small subunit ribosomal RNA", at positions 524 to 776 of the family's 1533-position model. The record is from RNAcentral.
UACGUAGGGGGCGAGCGUUGUCCGGAAUCACUGGGCGUAAAGCGCGCGUAGGUGGCGCGUCAAGAUCGGCGUGAAAUCCCCGGGCUCACCUCGGGGGGGUCGUCGGUGACUGGCGUGCUUGGGUUCCGCAGAGGCAGGUAGAAUUCCCGGUGGAGCGGUGAAAUGCGUAGAGAUCGGGAGGAAUACCAGUGGCGAAGGCGGCCUGCUGGGCGGCAACCGACGCUGAGGCGCGAAAGCGUGGGGAGCGAACCGG